CUCAAGAGGAAAAGUCAAUACCAGUGCAGGCUUUAGAAAUACCCUUUUGAAAGGUAAGAAAAAUUUAGUGCCACAGGACUCCAUAAAUUGCUCUUUCACUGUGCCUGACAGUGUUAAAGCAGCUUCCCCAAGGACCUCUAAUUCAUCAGGAGAAUCUGCUUCCUCCCUCAUGUUUUCUACUCGCCCUCUUUUCUCCCAGCUGCACCAUUAGCAGGGAGCAUAUUGCCAGAGACCUGGGAAGCACCUGGAAAACAGAAGCGCCUUACCAUGAACGGGUGAGGCUCUGGAGCCCGUACAGGUAAUGGGAUUGAAAAUGAAGAUGUAUUAGGGGAAGAGGAGUUACAACUCUGCUGGUUAAGUGAUGAAGUGAAUGGAAAUGAAAAACAUGGCAUCAAUUAUUAAGUGAUCUUCGCAGCUCCAGGCAAAGGUAACAGAUGAAGGAGGCUGGAUACCGUUGAAGGUUAUAGAAUGAUCCGGCAACUGUAACCUGAGGCCUCGCUGUGACACAAAGGAGAUAAAACACCCAAGAAACACCCUAAGCAGUUGCCAUCACAUUUCAGAUAGUUUAAAAGUUUUAUCCUUUUCUGACUCAGCUUCUCAUCGGACAGAAAGCAGGGGUCCACUGCAACCCCUCCCUGCCUCACAGCGGAAAAACAAGCCCACUCUGGGCUCCCUGAAGAUUCUGAACAAAAGCACACAGCGCUUCCGCAAGUUACUGUGGAUGCAAAGCACCACCAUUAAAGGAAC
Molecule: long non-coding RNA, 747 nt
Organism: Capra hircus (goat)
Lineage: Eukaryota; Metazoa; Chordata; Mammalia; Artiodactyla; Bovidae
Source: Ensembl